CCUACGGGUGGCAGCAGUGAGGAAUAUUGGUCAAUGGGCGCGAGCCUGAACCAGCCAAGUCGCGUGAAGGAUGACUGCCCUACGGAUUGUAAACUUCUUUUAUAAAGGAAUAAAGUGAGGCACGUGUGCCUUUUUGUGUGUACUUUAUGAAUAAGGAUCGGCUAACUCCGUGCCAGCAGCCGCGGUAAUACGGAGGAUCCGAGCGUUAUCCGGAUUUAUUGGGUUUAAAGGGAGCGUAGGUGGGUCGUUAAGUCAGUAGUGAAAGUUUGGGGCUCAACCGUAGAACUGCAAUUGAUACUGGCAGUCUUGAGUACAGUAGAGGUAGGCGGAAUUCGUGGUGUAGCGGUGAAAUGCUUAGAUAUCGCGAAGAACUCCGAUUGCGAAGGCAGCAUAC
RNAcentral lists this ribosomal RNA (394 nucleotides) under uncultured bacterium. Its description in RNAcentral is "partial 16S ribosomal RNA". It matches the Rfam family "Bacterial small subunit ribosomal RNA", at positions 338 to 729 of the family's 1533-position model. The record is from RNAcentral.